This 73-nucleotide transfer RNA is filed under the name Cordylochernes scorpioides. RNAcentral describes it as "tRNA-Thr". Lineage: Eukaryota; Metazoa; Arthropoda; Arachnida; Pseudoscorpiones; Chernetidae. The record is from RNAcentral.
GUCCAGGGAUGGGAAUCGAACCCACAAUGUUCCACUUACCGGGCAGAUGCCAUGUCCACUAGGCUACCCUGGA